GCAAUAUUCUAACAACCACCCAACAGAAACGAUACAGAGAAGAUUAGCAUGGCCCCUGCACUAAGGAUGACACGCUACAUCAAAGAGAAGCUACCAAUUUUU
This 102-nucleotide small nuclear RNA is filed under the name Ceratocystis platani. The record is from RNAcentral. Lineage: Eukaryota; Fungi; Ascomycota; Sordariomycetes; Microascales; Ceratocystidaceae. RNAcentral also lists the same sequence under 1 other name.